This is a long non-coding RNA of Calidris pugnax (ruff), 6194 nucleotides long. RefSeq lists it as uncharacterized. Lineage: Eukaryota; Metazoa; Chordata; Aves; Charadriiformes; Scolopacidae. The record is from RefSeq and is a predicted model, not a curated record. The transcript has 3 exons.
UUUUUAAAGUGGCUUGUAAAACAGCAAACAGCCAUAGCUUUUUGAGCUGUGAUUUAAUACAGGUCGUCAACGCACUUCUUUACAAGUACUACUUCCAUUGUAGUAGGAAAGAUACUUCAAACACUAUUGCAGACAUCUAGCUUACCAGUCUGCUGUAUGUCGGCUGAUCGCACACAAGCCUUUUAUCAGGGGAGCAAUGUUCAAAGGGUUGGACUCCAGAGAUACUCAGAAUAACAGAAAAUACAAACAGCUGCUACCUCUAGUAUUAUUCAGAUUUUAUUUUCUUUUUAUUGAUUGUAAUGUGCUACGGGGGGAGGGGGGGGGGAUUUUAAUAUACUACAUUCAUGUAGCCUGUUUGUGUUCACAUCCUUUCAAAUUAUCGUAAUAAUUACAAGUAAAUAUUAGCUAUACUUGUCAACAGAGCUACAUUUGUACAACUUACACUUUAUUUUCGUGGAGAUUCUUCACUGACACAAGUACAGUCUGUUAUAUACUGGGUAAUAUUUAAAUAUACUUCUAUUUUUGGUUUUUCUCUUGCUUACUCUACAUUCUGUUUGGGGUAACCAUUUGAAAAGAGGAGGAUGUGAAAUGGGGUUUUCAAAGCAUCACUAGACUUUAGUGCUUGGGCCAUAACUGUCAUUCAUGGGGGUUUGGGAAGGAGAGGGGUUGUUUGGGAGUUUUGUUUUGUGUAAAUCCACAGUUCUUUGUUUUGAGAAAGAAUUGAGGAAAAUAUACUUUCUCACUUUAAAUGUUGGCAAAUAUAUAUAAAAUAUAAAUAUAAAUAUAUAUAUAUAUAAAUAUGCACACUCUCAGGUACAUUUUGUUGUGUUUUAGAAAAUCUGUGGUUUGAAUAUUAGCAUUAUAAUUUUUUUUUCCACAACAGUGACUUUUUACAAAUAUAUGCCAUGGCAUUUUCUUAGGUGCCUCCAAUUUAAAUUCCCCCAGCACCUACCAAUUUGUGCUUCUUCCAUUUUAGAGACAUGUUAAAAAAAAAUAACCAUUCACCAUUAUUCUGGCCUCUUCUACUUUUUCUGUAUCAAAGGGCUUCCAUUCCAUGAAGGAGAAUGAGACCAUACUCACAAGACCUUACUGGCUGAUGAGAAACUUGAAGGUCAAAAACGAAUUGGAAAAGUGGAAAAAAAGGGUCAAUACAUUCAAGUUUUACUUUCUGUGGGGCCCAGAUCUAUAAUACCUUCAGCUGGGUUUUGUACAGAUCACCACUUCGCAGGUAGAAAGUGACUGAAAAACACGUACGUUGCUUUUGGAACUUUAAAGUAGAGAACUCCUCACAUAAAAACCUAAUUGUUCUAUAAACAUAUUUGCUUUUGGUUUUAAUUAUUUUAAAUGUUGUGGUAUUUUGUCUAUAGUAUAUAUUGUAAAAUGUAACUAUCCCACAUUGUUAUAAGCCCUUUAUGAUUAGGGUAAUUAUUUUUUUUCUGACUAGAGUUUUGAUCAGUCCAAAAUGGGGUAUUACCUUUCUGCUGACCAGUUUUGGAGGGACAUUGUCCUUUCUAAGAAUGCGGAGACAUCAACUUUUAAAAAGUGGAAAGCCUUGCUUUCUGGUGGAAUUGGAAUAGAAUCACUGCUUCGUGGUAAUUAGGUCCGUCUCUAGUCUCCCUGGAUCAGCAGUUGUUUAGACUUAUUGCCCUCUUUAAAAAAUCUGGUUUAUUUUAUUUUAUUUUAUUUUUAGCUGUCAACAGUGUGUUCUGUUAAAUCUAACAAAAUGUUUUUAAAAUGUGUUUGAUCUGUGUGACAACUAUACUGUUCUGUUUAUUUUUAAAAUUCCUAAAGUCCAAAAAUAUUUAUAUGCAGAAUUUUCUGUAUUGAAAAUAUGAAAAGGCCACAAAUUUGGUUAGUUACCACUGAGUUGUUCUAGUCUAAGCCUUUUUUGCUGCUUGUGUAUCAUUCUUUUUUCAAUGUAUAUAUAAUUAUGGACUGCAAAAAAAAAGGCAUUUAUAUGUCUAGUAGAAGGAAUAAGCUUAUUUAUAUUAUAGUGUUAACAAAGUCUGAUGUAUUCAAGUGACUUACGUUAUACCGCAUGCAAACACACAAGUGUACAUUCCAUCUAAGAAGGGAUGCCAUGCUAUUUGUUUUGAAGGUGUAAUUAAAGCUGUUCUCUUUUCAGUAGAGCAUAUGCCAGCAAGACCAGGAGGUGGGAAUUGUUUCUGAAGUCAAUUUUUUUAAAUGCAGAUUGUUGCUGAAAACCGGAAAACGUUCUGGAAAAGUAGAGCAUUUUCAGAACUGUGGGCUUUUUCUAAGAAAGAGCAGCAAAGGGGCAUAAAUGCUCUUUCACCCAAAGAUAUUUUGCUGGAAAAGAUAACAGCAGCAGUAACGACACCCCACCUGACUGAAACGCAGUGCAGUGCUAGUUGUGCCAAGCGAACUCUGGAGUGUAACACAACUGACCACUGGUUACAACCUCGCAUUGAUUUGCUCUGGUUUUACUAUAUUUGGAGAUUCAAAAGAGAAAUUCUGCCUUGCUCCGAUUCUGUGAAAUACAGAUACAUUUUAAUAACGUGGCAUCCCCCUACUGAAACUUUACACCAGCCAUGUAUGAACGUACAGUAUCUAAAUACUGUGUUGCAGUUGUGUUACGUGUAUUAAGUGUGAAUAACAUGUAGCACAGUUUCUUUUCACAGAACCUUAAAUUUCCGUAUCUUUUAAAAAUGUUUGCUUUUCAGUAUUUUGUAUAGUAAAUAUAGAUGGUUUUGACUAAAUGCUUUAUUUAUUUAACAGCAAAAACUGUGCCAAGAGAACCCCCUGUUAAUUAAAGUUUUACUAGUUCAGAAAGUAUAUUUCCUUCUUCUUGUUGUGGAUUUCAGGGGCUCAUUGCAAUUGCUGUCAGAGCUUGCAGAUCCCACUGAUGAAAGAGCUUCCAUUAACAGUUUUGGGAACAGGAUCAGGCCAUAAGGUAUGGACUGGAUGUGCUUUGGUUUUAUAUUUAAACUAUCAAGUUUCAAAAUUAAUUAUUUUUGUCCCCUACUAUUAGACCCGUGUUGAGUAACCAAUUUUUCAGCUUGUUAUUCAUUCUGAAAACUUGUUUCAAGUUGCUCAAAACUGUGGCUGAAUCAACAUUUAAAAUAGAUUAGUUUCUGGUUAAACAAAACACUUAAUUUCCAAGCAAAAAAAAAGAAAUAAUCAGAGUUGGGUAUAUUAUUACUAUUUAAAAGUAAAAUGGAGUGGCAUGAAGUCAUUUAGAAUGAAAACUCCAGCCUUUUCAAUUACAUUUUCUGUUUUCACACAAAGCAAUUCAGCAAAACUAAGCUGAUCAGCAAAUUUGCACCAUUUGCUGAAAAUAUUUCAACUGAAAAAUUUUGCUCAGCUCUACCGUCUGGAGUUUUUGGGAAGCCAGGAUUGCUAAGCCCUUCUCACAGCUUCAUGACCGCCUAACGCAAAGUAAACUAAGCUAAAGAUAGCAAAGUAAAAUCUCUCUCCCAAUGAAAUCUCUGGCGAGACUGCCAGAUUCCCACUGGCUUCAGGGUGCCUAUAAUUUCAUUCCAGGAAUGUGGGUUUGAAGUCUACAUAAUAGCGCAGACAGUGAUUUCAGUAUUUAUUUUUUAUGCAUCUUAGUGCUGGUGGUUUUGUAGUCGCCAACAUCAUUAAAUGGAAGUUUUACUGUAAGAGAUCAAGCUGGUAAAUUCAGAUUAGCUGCAAAUACUGUGCUUUAUACUCGUGUCAUUGUAGGACCUCAAGGCGCUUCCAAAUGUCUUUGAAACAUCCCUCCCCACGUCGUUUAGUCUCUGUUAGAAAUUAAAGACGCGGUUCUGCCCUUGGAGGCCGAAGCGCAGGUUCUCCUGGCGGUUUGACAGACCCGACCCUUAAGGCCACACCAAACUAAAAAACCACGUACGUGACCUCUGUAACUGCCUUCCUACUCCAGUCAUCCUGAGCACAGAACAGCAAAGUCUGGCUGGAGAAGGACCUUAAAGGUGUCUGUUUGUGUGCGUGUACAUAUACAUAUGUAUGUGUAUGUGUCCUCUGGCAGAAGUUAGAGAAUGGCACAGGACGGAUUCCGACAGCGGUGAUCUUUUAUAGAGGGAUAAAUACUGUGUUUGCUCAGCAGUCUGCAAGUUGCCACAUAAAUAUACGGAUAUGAUGAAUGCUUACUGUUCCCCAUAUGUCAUUGUGUGCCUCAAUUACUGAAUGGCAGAUUUCAUUUGUAUUCCAAUUAACAGGGAAGUUAGGCCCCUUGGGGCCUAAGUUAUACUUGAGAAAAAUUCAUCGUGCUAGAAAAUUUGCAAAAACAUUCACCAUAAUUUUUGCCUGGAGUAUAGGCAAGAAUGUUCAUGUUUGGAAAUGUGUCAGCUAAUCAAGUCUCACCUUUAAUUACCUUGAUGCAAUUCAUCAAGAUCUGAAAAUACUUUUUCAAACAUGACUUAUUCAUGGUUUUGCUGGGAACCGACUCAUAUUCAGCAUCCUGUUAGUUGUCAGACUUCUUUUUUUUUUUUUUUUUUUAAAUGUACCAAGCAGAAACAUGUUUGAAAAUCCAUGAAAUAAAAAUUGAACUUAAUGUGUUUUCUAAAUAGCUUCUGGAAGAAAAUUUCUUUUCUUUUCUAAUGCACUUAGCAGCAAAACCAGCCUCAAUUUAUCACAUAAUGAUUUAUUUUCUUUGCAUAUUUGACAGCUGUUCAGUUGAUUUGACUUGGAAGGAGCUGUUUUGGGAUUUUUUUGGCUUGUGUACAUUUAAAAUGUGCUCAAAAUGGGCUAAAAGAAACAGACACAGAAAAGCAAAUAACUUUGUAUUGAAAUUAUUCAGUAGCCAUUGAACUGCAUCUUAUUUGAAGUUUGGAUUAUAGCUAUUAAAUAAUGAGGCUUUCAAUGAUGCUUUAAUUUACUGUAAUAUUUCUCUAUAAUUCUAGAUAAUUCGACCCUACUGAGCUAAAAUGAUAGAAAUCAUAUGCAUGAGGUCUUCUAAUUUCUUCUUUUUUUUUGUUUUUUGAAUAGCAGAAUUUAAGAACUAUUCAGAUGGAUUACUGUGAGGGUUAGAGCCGUGAAGAAAGACUGGCAAGGGAAGGAUGGAAAGAUUUGAGAAGUGUAGGGGUAGCACAGAACUGUCCAACAGAAGGGCGGCAGGAGACAGACCAGAGGUAGGAAAAUACUGUAUGGAGAAGCUGUAUUCAUAUUGCAUUUUUGAAUCUCUUAUGGUACUUCUAUUGCUCAUAAAAAAGCAACAGUAGUUCAUAGAAUGCUUUUCACUGAGAAAGCUUGAGAGACUUUCUAGAAGAGGUCAAUCUCCAGUGUGCAGUGGGAGGCGCGAGGAAGGAGAGCUGUAGAUAAUCACGGGCUGUGACAAAUAAGAAAUGAAACCCUGGUUUCCUGGGUCCCUGUCCAAGCUGAAGGAAAUUUUUCAGAAGCAGAGGCGUUUCUACAGAAGUUUUCAAUAUUCUCUAGAGCAUGUUUUGAAUAGUAGCAUCAGUUCUUUUUCUGUUAGAUUACAAGCACGCAUAAGUCGGUCAAAUGUUGCCCAAACAUUCAGUAUCUAUUGUGAUUUUUCUGAAGACUAAGCACUAACUAUGCCUUCGAAAUCUACUGACACUAAGUAUAGUCUUUAAAUCACAAGAAAUGGCAGACUAGACCUAUUGGUUGUCUCAUCAGCCUAGUUUUUCAGGGUCUGAGAGUAGGAAGUUCCAGAAGUUUCAUACGAACGUUGGAGACAUAAUGCUAAGGGCCUUCGUAAGUGUGGCAAUGGGAAAACAUUAACAGUAUUAGGCAUACUGGUAAUUAUGUGCACUGUGCUUUCUGGGUUUUACGACAUGCUUACGCAGUGUGGUUUGUGUCUUCCUUCGAGUGCCUGUCCAUAGAGACAAAGCAGCUUGUAAUUGCUACCAGCCGAGAGAUGUAUUCUUUUGGUGAGCCUGGACUUUGUGGAUGAAGAUCCGGGGUUCAGAUCCUUCUGGUGCUGAGUGCUUAUUCUUGCACGUAAUCCUUCCCACUCUCUUCUAGUCACAAAGUAUAGCACAUUGGGGCUUUGUGAAUUUUCUAAUAAAACACCUACAAACUGGGCCAAAUUUGUCUUUAGCUUCACAAGUGGAAGCCAGAAGAGCUCCCCAUGCAUGUCUUGGAAUUUGGACCUUCAAAUGCAGUUUGCUAUAUGAGUCAUCAUUUUUUCUUGUACUAAUUUCAGAUAUUUGAUAAGCUCUUUUUAUGGUUUACAAGUUUAAAAAGACAAAUAAAACUUUGUAGAUUAAAACGUU